GCGUAAAGGGAAAGGUCGUAGUCAAUCCCCACAGCCACGCGAACUCUAAGUCAGCCACGAAUAGGCUAUCCCAACUAACGGCGGGAAAGACUCCACGGAGGGUGUAAGACCCGUGUGGGCGCGUGUCGAUGCUGUGUGGGCUCGGCCUUUUUUCCCUGAGAGUCGCGUUGCUUGAGCAUGCAGCGCUAAGCAGGUCGUAAACUCGAUCUAAGGCUAAAUAUGUCCACAGAACCGAUAGCGAACAAGUACCGUGAGGGAAAGUUGAAAAGCACUCUGGAGAGAGAGUCAAAAGACCGUGAAACCGCUCAGAGUAUAAGCCCAUGGCAGCUUGGAAGGCAUAUCGCUAGCGGGGCAUCGGUCUCCCUUCACGGGGAGCUGGUGUUACCUUGCUUCUGUUGUGGCUCGUUAUGGUAGGGGGGUCAAGUCCACAUCCCGCCGUCGUGUGGGGAGUUCUUGGGCGCGUCGUGGCUUUGCGGUUGACCUCGGUUGGCCGUAGGGCUCUUCGUGCUUGGUUCUUCUUUAGACACGGACGUUCAGACUCAGUUGCAAGACGCGAUAACAAGCCCACCACGGCACGUUGUGAGGUCACCCUCAGGCUCGACUUUCGAUUGCGGUCCUUGACGCCAAGCAAGCACUGUGCGUGUCGCAGAUGUUCCUAACCGGGCAAAACUCGUUUGUCAGGAUCGUGGAACGACACGCGCUCAACAGUCAGGACCGGGCGAUGACAGAGUUCUGGUACGAUCCUCUUGCGACGAGCCGCCUUCUGGCCGAUUUCCGAUGCUCAGGUCUCCCGCAUGUGCCGCGGGAGAUCGCCUUGACGGUCUGGAGCUUUCACAAGUCCUCUCAGUCGGGCAACGGAAAAAAUGGUGUAAAGUCCAAGCCCAUCGGUCACGUCUCGAAACACGGGCCAAGGA
This 914-nucleotide ribosomal RNA is filed under the name Gammarus tumaf. RNAcentral describes it as "partial large subunit ribosomal RNA". It matches the Rfam family "Eukaryotic large subunit ribosomal RNA", at positions 111 to 672 of the family's 3401-position model. Lineage: Eukaryota; Metazoa; Arthropoda; Malacostraca; Amphipoda; Gammaridae. The record is from RNAcentral.